Molecule: ribosomal RNA, 445 nt
Filed under: uncultured bacterium
Lineage: Bacteria
Description: partial 16S ribosomal RNA
Rfam family: Bacterial small subunit ribosomal RNA
Source: RNAcentral
GUGAGGAAUAUUGCGCAAUGGAGGCAACUCUGACGCAGCCAUGCCGCGUGCAGGAAGAAGGCGCUACGCGUUGUAAACUGCUUUUAACCGGGAAGAAACCCCAGGACGUGUCCUGGGUUGACGGUACCGGAGGAAUAAGCACCGGCUAACUUCGUGCCAGCAGCCGCGGUAAUACGAAGGGUGCAAGCGUUAUCCGGAUUCAUUGGGUUUAAAGGGUGCGUAGGCGGAGCGUUAAGUCAGUGGUGAAAUCCUGCAGCUUAACUGUAGACUUGCCAUUGAUACUGGCGCUCUUGAGUGCGCUUGAAGUGGGCGGAAUGUGACGUGUAGCGGUGAAAUGAUUAGAUAUGGCACAGAAAACCAAUUGCGAAGGCAGCUCACUAAGGCGAUACUGACGCUGAGGCACGAAAGCGUGGGGAUCGAACAGGAUUAGAAACCCCAGUAGUCC